CACUUCAAAUUUAAGAAAACAUAUAAGUAUUUUCAAAUAUACAAAACAUUCAACCUUGAAGCAAAUAUAAUGUGCAUAAAGCAUAAAAUAGGCAAAACAUCCACACUUGUUGCAAAACAUAGAUAAGGCAAAACUGAAAUUAUCAAAUAAACAUUCAAGUGAAGAUCCUCCGAAUGUUCCAAAUAAAUGUCAAAGAUUGGAGAGAUGGGGCUCUGGGAGCUCAAUAGCUACUCAAAAAGCAGUAGAUAAAGCGAUACUGCGUUUUAUUAUUGAAGAUAUUCAACCUCUUUCUACUGUAGAUAGUCCAGCAUUCAUUAAUUUACUUAGAAUUGGACUUCCUUCACAUAUCCGUAUAAUGUGCAGAAAAACAUUAAGAAACAAAAUUUGUGAAACAUAUCAUAAAAUGAAGGCUGCUCUUGAAAAAAAAUUGACAGAAGUAGAAGUAGUUGCAACUACCGCAGAUUUGUGGAGCAAAACAAAAA
Nylanderia fulva is the source of this 482-nucleotide non-coding RNA. NCBI's taxonomy places the organism in Eukaryota, Metazoa, Arthropoda, Insecta, Hymenoptera, Formicidae. The record is from RefSeq and is a predicted model, not a curated record.